CAAUUAGGGGUAUAUUAACCCCAGGCUGUGCUAAGGGGCAUUAUUCCCUCCAGGGGAAUCAGUGGGAGUGAAGAGCUCCUCUCUCAUUUUGGUGAAGAGGCUCUUUUAAGUUACUUCAGCCUGCUAAAAGCAGGAGGAUUGCAAUUUCCAGAAGUUCUAGGUCACAUCAAGUGCGAUAUUUCAGAUUCUCUCAGCAGACUCAUAGUAACACAAAAGGGAACCGCCCCCGCAGCAGCUUUCCUUAGCAGCAGAUCGUCCUCUCGCACAGAUUCACUUUGGAGAGAUGCAGACGGUUUGACCUCGUGGCAGAGCAGCUAUCCCAGAUGAUGGGGGUCCCCCUGAGAAGGAAGUAAAGCCAGAUAGCAGCG
RNAcentral lists this long non-coding RNA (368 nucleotides) under Cyanistes caeruleus (blue tit). Its description in RNAcentral is "lncRNA (ENSCCEG00000018120.1)". Lineage: Eukaryota; Metazoa; Chordata; Aves; Passeriformes; Paridae. The record is from RNAcentral.